This 1312-nucleotide ribosomal RNA is filed under the name uncultured bacterium. RNAcentral's name for it is "bacterial SSU rRNA". It matches the Rfam family "Bacterial small subunit ribosomal RNA", at positions 94 to 1429 of the family's 1533-position model. The record is from RNAcentral.
AGUGGCGGACGGGUGAGUAACACAUAAGGGACCUGCCCACGCGUGGGGGAUAGCCUGGGGAAACCGGGGGUAAGCCCGCAUACGCUCCCUGGCAUAGCGGCCGGGGAGGAAAUCCUUCUUUUGGGAAGGAGCGCGUGGAGGGCCUUGUGGCGGAUUAGCUAGUUGGGGGGGUAGUAGCCCACCAAGGCGACGAUCCGUCGCUGGUCUGAGAGGAUGACCAGCCACACCGGGACUGAGACACGGCCCGGACUCCUACGGGAGGCAGCAGUUAGGGAAUUUUCCCAAUGGGCGCAAGCCUGAGGGAGUGACGCCGCGUGCGGGAGGACGGCCUUCGGGCUGUAAACCGCUUUUCGGGGGGACGAGAUGGACGGUACCCCCGGAAGAAGCCCCGGCUAACUACGUGCCAGCAGCCGCGGUAAUACGUAGGGGGCGAGCGUUGUCCGGAUUUAUUGGGCGCAAAGAGCGCGUAGGCGGCCUGGCGCAUCCGGCGUGAAAGCUCCCUGCUCAACGGGGAGAGGGCGGCGGAGAUGGCGAGGCUAGAGGGCGGUAGAGGCGGAUGGAAGUCCCGCAGUAGUGGUGAAAUGCGUAGAGAGCGGGAGGAACACCAGAGGCGAAGGCGAUCCGCUGGGCCGGACCUGACGCUGAGGCGCGACAGCCAGGGGAGCGAACGGAAUUAGAUACUCCGGUAGUCCUGGCCGUAAACGAUGGCGACCAGAUGGGGGGGGCUUCGACCCCGUCCCCGUCGCGGCAAACGCGAUGAGUCGCCCGCCUGGGGAGUACAGUCGCAAGGCUAAAACUCAAAGGAAUUGACAGGGGCCCGCACAAGCAGCGGAGCGUGUGGUUUAAUUCGACGCAACGCGCAGAACCUCACCAAGAUUUGACAUCACCUGGAGCGCUCCUGAAAGGGAGUUUCCCGCAAGGGCCGGGUGACAGGUGUUGCAUGGCUGUCGUCAGCUCGUGUCGUGAGAUGUUGAGUUCAGUCCCGCAACGAGCGCAACCCGCGUCGCCAGUUACAUUGUGUCUGGCGAGACGGCCGGGAGCAACCCGGAGGAAGGCGCGGAUGACGUCAAGUCGGCACGGCCCGUACAUCUUGGGCUACACACACGCUACAAUGGCCGGGACAGCGGGUCGCGAGGGCGCAAGCCGGAGCUAAUCCCUGCAAACCCGGUCGUAGUUCGGAUUGAGGGCUGCAACUCGCCCUCAUGAAGUCGGAGUUGCUAGUAACCGCGGGUCAGCACACCGCGGUGAAUAUGUUCCCGGGCCUUGUACACACCGCCCGUCACACCAUGGGAGCGUGGGGGACCUGAAGUCG